CCUGGUAAUAACGUAAAAGUGCGAAAAUGAAAUUUAGAUAACUCUAUGGCUUAAAAUUACAUAUCUUCUUCAUGUGUUUCCAUCUUUUCGUCUACCUACACAACAAUGAGUAAGUAUCGACAUGGAAACAUAUGAAGUGAGAAAUCAUAUCCAAGAAAGUAACACUCGUAGAGUGAAGAAUAUUACUUAUACAUAAUAUAAACCAUACACAACAGCUAAACAUCAAUCAUCAUCAUAUGCAAGAGAAUGAAAGAUACACCCUAAUCAUUGAUGACAAAAUUCGGCAAGUGCACCGAAUCGUUUUCAAGUAAUAAAGUAGUAAGUAAAAUCGUCUCUACGAGAAUUGUCGUUUCAACUAGGCAACUAGCUAAACUUGUUAAAACAGUAAAUAAAAGAAAUAAAAUGGGGAGAGUUUGCAAGUUUGAUUUGAUUACACAAAGCGGUUGAGUUGAUUGCGGAAAAUUAAAGGUUUUGAAUUGCAGAUUUUUGUAGUGAUAAGGAUUCAUUGAAUCCCCUCUAUUUUCGUGUUGGAUUUAUUCUCAUCAAUUAUCAGUUAUGAGAUAAGGGUUUUCUUUAAGUGGUAAGUUCGAUGGGAUCUAAAGUCCCUCCAAAUGUCAAGUUGCUCCUCUGAUCACCCUAAGAUCAUAUGUACGAUACGAGAUACAUGGUCGUCAAGCCUAUAGAGAUCUGUAUAAGUGGUUGGAUAGUUAAUUAUGGUGAUGAUUUACUCUUUCACAUGUAAUUGAAACAUAAACGAAGUUGGUAUUCCUAAAUUGUCAUCUACCCUUAAUUAAACCUAUGAAUUUAAGAAUUUCGACACAUA
This 823-nucleotide long non-coding RNA is filed under the name Medicago truncatula (barrel medic). Its description in RNAcentral is "lncRNA gene37840". The record is from RNAcentral. Lineage: Eukaryota; Viridiplantae; Streptophyta; Magnoliopsida; Fabales; Fabaceae.